Non-coding RNA from Vicia faba (fava bean), 257 nucleotides. The record is from the annotation of a GenBank genome assembly. NCBI's taxonomy places the organism in Eukaryota, Viridiplantae, Streptophyta, Magnoliopsida, Fabales, Fabaceae.
AUGGCAAAUACAACAACAAGCUUACAUCUACUCUCUCUGAAUCAAGCAAGGCACACAAGCCUUAGCAGAAUAUCGAUGAGAGUCUCAUGUACGCUGCUAACUAGAGUUUGGUUAAUGCGCUGCUUAAGGAAAAAAAAACAUUGGUGGAGUUCUUCAAGCAUGUUCAGCAACACAUGGGUGAUAAUGAAGAUGAGAGAUAUGGAGAUUCAUUUUGUUAGUUUCUUUGGGAAAAUCGGGUUGCUGUCAAAGAUAAAAUG